GCUUGGGCUUCUUUGCUGACGAGUGGCGGACGGGUGAGUAAUGUCUGGGAAACUGCCUGAUGGAGGGGGAUAACUACUGGAAACGGUAGCUAAUACCGCAUAACGUCGCAAGACCAAAGAGGGGGACCUUCGGGCCUCUUGCCAUCGGAUGUGCCCAGAUGGGAUUAGCUUGUUGGUGGGGUAACGGCUCACCAAGGCGACGAUCCCUAGCUGGUCUGAGAGGAUGACCAGCCACACUGGAACUGAGACACGGUCCAGACUCCUACGGGAGGCAGCAGUGGGGAAUAUUGCACAAUGGGCGCAAGCCUGAUGCAGCCAUGCCGCGUGUAUGAAGAAGGCCUUCGGGUUGUAAAGUACUUUCAGCGGGGAGGAAGGGAGUAAAGUUAAUACCUUUGCUCAUUGACGUUACCCGCAGAAGAAGCACCGGCUAACUCCGUGCCAGCAGCCGCGGUAAUACGGAGGGUGCAAGCGUUAAUCGGAAUUACUGGGCGUAAAGCGCACGCAGGCGGUUUGUUAAGUCAGAUGUGAAAUCCCCCGG
This 538-nucleotide ribosomal RNA is filed under the name Escherichia coli. RNAcentral describes it as "bacterial SSU rRNA". It matches the Rfam family "Bacterial small subunit ribosomal RNA", at positions 73 to 607 of the family's 1533-position model. Lineage: Bacteria; Pseudomonadati; Pseudomonadota; Gammaproteobacteria; Enterobacterales; Enterobacteriaceae. The record is from RNAcentral.